UUAUGGCCAUAUCACGUUGAAACACCGACUCCCGUACGAUCAUCGAUGUUAAGCAAUGUUGAGCCUGGUCACUAUUUCGACGGGUGACCGCUUGGGAAUAAUAGGUGCUGUAAG
Acanthosepion pharaonis is the source of this 114-nucleotide non-coding RNA. The record is from the annotation of a GenBank genome assembly. Lineage: Eukaryota; Metazoa; Mollusca; Cephalopoda; Sepiida; Sepiidae.